CCUACGGGAGGCAGCAGUGAGGAAUAUUUGUCAAUGGGCGCGAGCCUGAACCAGCCAAGUAGCGUGAAGGAUGACUGCCCUACGGGUUGUAAACUUCUGUUAUAAAGGAAUAAAGUGAGGCACGUGUGCCUUUUUGUAUGUACUUUAUGAAUAAUGAUCGGCUAACUCCGGUCCAGCAGCCGCGGUAAUACGUAGGCUCCGAUCGUUAUCCGGAUUUAUUGGGUUUAAAGGGAGCGUAGAUGGGUUGUUAAGUCAGUUGUGAAAGUUUGCGGCUCAACCGGAAAAUUGCAAUUGAUACUGGCAGACUUGAGUACAGUUGAGGUAGGCGGAAUUCGUGGUGUAGCGGUGAAAUGCUUAGAUAUCACGAAGAACUCCGAUUGCGAAGGCAGCUUACUAAACUGCAACUGACAUUGAUGCUCGAAAGUGUGGGUAUCAAACAGGAUUAGAUACCCUAGUAGUC
This 460-nucleotide ribosomal RNA is filed under the name uncultured bacterium. Its description in RNAcentral is "partial 16S ribosomal RNA". It matches the Rfam family "Bacterial small subunit ribosomal RNA", at positions 338 to 795 of the family's 1533-position model. The record is from RNAcentral.